Molecule: non-coding RNA, 432 nt
Organism: Pseudonaja textilis
Lineage: Eukaryota; Metazoa; Chordata; Lepidosauria; Squamata; Elapidae
Source: RefSeq, a predicted model, not a curated record
UUCCCUUCCCUCCCUUCCCUUCCCUUCUCUUCCAUUCCAUUCCAUUCCAUUCCAUUGCAUUCUAAAUCACUGUUAUUCUCUAUUAAAAUACUUCCAUUUUAAUCAAUUUAAAAUGCCGUUCAGAUCAUCUGUCCUUGUUUUGUAGCACUAAUGGAUAUCCUGAAUUCCUAACACAAUUGAUUAUCUCAGCCCUGAAAAGUACUGCGGAGAUAACCCAUUUUCCUCUUUCUUUUUCCAUCCCCUCUCCCUCCUCAAGGAUUCUCUACAGCACAUUUUACCAUUUGGCAGAGGCUCAUGAGCCUUAUUUUGGCUACUACUUCUUCAAUGCCCUCCUGAUGCUCGUGUAUAUUCUCGAUGUUCUCUGGUCCUGCGUGAUCAUCCUCAUGCUUUAUAGGCUCCUGACCCAUGGCAAGAUGGUAAAGGAUGCACGGA